ACGAAGCCCAAAUUCACAACCGAACGUGAAUUAACGAUCACCUUCACAAGGGGAUCAUAAGGAAUCAUGUCAAGAUGGAUGGGAGCGUUGAAGGCUAACGGGCUACGAAUACUCAAUCAAAUAAGCGAACGCAAAUACGGGCGCGCAAGGUUGUACAGAACUGUGAAUUCUCAUUACGAAGCGUAAGCGGUCGAAGAUCGAGUCAAGUCGUGGAUUGUACGUGUGGGUGCGUGGUCACGUAAUUUAAUAUAAGUAUGUCAGAUUGUA
Long non-coding RNA from Helianthus annuus (common sunflower), 267 nucleotides. RefSeq lists it as uncharacterized. The record is from RefSeq and is a predicted model, not a curated record. The transcript has 3 exons. NCBI's taxonomy places the organism in Eukaryota, Viridiplantae, Streptophyta, Magnoliopsida, Asterales, Asteraceae.